CCUACGGGUGGCAGCAGUGAGGAAUAUUGGUCAAUGGGCUUACGCCUGAACCAGCCAAGUCGCGUGAAGGAAGACUGCCCUAUGGGUUGUAAACCUCUUUUGUCAGGGAGCAAUGGGCGCUACGUGUAGCGUUAUCGAGAGUACUUGAAGAAAAAGCAUCGGCUAACUCCUUGCCCGCAGCGGCGGUACUACGGGGGAUGCGAGCGUUAUCCGGAUUUAUUGGUUUUAAAGGGUGCGUAGGCGGAAGGCCAAGUCAGCGGUAAAGUCGGGGGGCUAAACCUCGAUCCGCCGUUGACACUGGCUUUCUUGAGUGGGCGAGAAGUAUGCGGAAUGCGUGGUGUAGCGGUGAAAUGCAUAGAUAUCACGCAGAACUCCGAUUGCGAAGGCAGCAUACCGGCGCCCAACUGACGCUGAAGCACGAAAGCGUGGGUAUCGAACAGGAUUAGAUACCCUAGUAGUC
This 460-nucleotide ribosomal RNA is filed under the name uncultured bacterium. Its description in RNAcentral is "partial 16S ribosomal RNA". It matches the Rfam family "Bacterial small subunit ribosomal RNA", at positions 338 to 795 of the family's 1533-position model. The record is from RNAcentral.